UAAUACGUAGGUGGCAAGCGUUGUCCGGAUUUACUGGGCGUAAAGCGAACGCAGGCGGAGUGUUAAGUAAGAAGUGAAAGGUUGGAGCUCAACUCUGACACGGCUUCUUAUACUGGCAUUCUUGAGUCUUGGAGAGGAAAGCGGAACGACACGUGUAGCGGUGAAAUGCGUUGAUAUGUGUCGGAACACCGAUGGCGAAAGCAGCUUUCUGGACAAGUACUGACGCUGAGGUUCGAAAGCCAAGGGAGCGAACAGGAUUAGAUACCCUGGUAGUCUUGGCCAUAAACGAUGUUCACUAGGUGUCGGGGCUUUGCUUCGGUGCCGCAGCUAACGCAUUAAGUGAACCGCCUGGGAACUACGAUCGCAAGAUUA
RNAcentral lists this ribosomal RNA (372 nucleotides) under uncultured bacterium. Its description in RNAcentral is "bacterial SSU rRNA". It matches the Rfam family "Bacterial small subunit ribosomal RNA", at positions 521 to 896 of the family's 1533-position model. The record is from RNAcentral.